Molecule: non-coding RNA, 54 nt
Organism: Salmo salar (Atlantic salmon)
Lineage: Eukaryota; Metazoa; Chordata; Actinopteri; Salmoniformes; Salmonidae
Source: Rfam
UAAACUCACUACUGUAAGUCGCUCUGUAUAAUAGCGUCUGCUAAAUUACUAAAA